Molecule: ribosomal RNA, 558 nt
Filed under: Triticum aestivum (bread wheat)
Lineage: Eukaryota; Viridiplantae; Streptophyta; Magnoliopsida; Poales; Poaceae
Description: partial small subunit ribosomal RNA
Source: RNAcentral
AUGUGCUUGCGGGAUAGGGAUCUCUGGCUUAUGCGGUGCCCACUAAUAUGCAACUGGGCGGUUGAGUUUCAUUUGCCACAUCGUGUGUUUCGUCAGUUUGGUCUAUUCCAGCCUCACCAGCCGGAAUGGGUGGACACAGACAAAGCACUUCAUAGGUUGGAUAGGAGAAAGCAGCGGAAGAUAAAGGACUGGGACAAGCAUCAUGCAUCGUAUGGUACCCGGUUCAAUCUUUGUGUGGAGCAAGCUCGUAACAAUGCACGCGGCCAGCUUCGUGAGCAUAGCUCACUUGCUUUCGAUAACUACCUACAAUGGUUUCUUGAAAAUGUUCGAGUUGAGAUAUGCCCGCCGGCAUACAACGAUGAUAUUCUUGAAGAGCCUGUAAACUUUGAGGAUGUAUCGAAGUGGCAGUACAACAUAGAUGUCAGGGAAGGGCAAGGAGUCCCUGCUGUUCCGGUGAUUAACUAUGUGCGCAACCAGAUCAAGAAAGUAGCUGAUGAAAGCCAGUCUAUUCUGGAGAAGACACCGGUUGGAGAAGGCAAUGAUGAUGGUUCACUAUGA